CCUACGGGAGGCUGCAGUAGGGAAUCUUCCACAAUGGGCGAAAGCCUGAUGGAGCAACGCCGCGUGGGUGAAGAAGGUCUUCGGAUCGUAAAACCCUGUUGUUAGAGAAGAAAGUGCGUGAGAGUAACUGUUCACGUUUCGACGGUAUCUAACCAGAACGCCACGGCUAACUACGUGCCAGCAGCCGCUGUAAUACGUAGGGGGCAAGCGUUAUCCGGAUUUAUUGGGCGUAAAGGGAACGCAGGCGGUCUUUUAGGUCUGAUGUGAAAGCCUUCGGCUUAAGCGGGGUAGUGCAGUGGGAACUGGGAGACGUGAGUGCAGAAGAGGGGAGUGGA
Molecule: ribosomal RNA, 335 nt
Filed under: uncultured bacterium
Lineage: Bacteria
Description: partial 16S ribosomal RNA
Rfam family: Bacterial small subunit ribosomal RNA
Source: RNAcentral